GGAGAACGUGAAGAACACCAAGUCGGAGGACUGAGAACACCAUGACGGAGGAGAACGGGAAUAAUGGAACGCACGUGGACCCAGCUACCGAGGCUAACUGACGUGGCACUGAUGUGGCGUGCCAAAUUUAAGAAUCACGGUGAACGGAGGAGAAGAUGAUGCUAAACUAGAAAUUCCAAAAAGGGGAAGGGUUCACGUGCGACUGGAGAUAGGGUGAUUCGUGAUCUUUGUUCAUGCAACUAGGCAACCUACAAUCACGAGAUAGGCAACUCUAUGCUCCCAAGUUUCAACAGGUCCUCAGCAUUGCAGAGAAGCUUGAGUUGGAGCACGAAGGCCAAGUAAGAACAAGAAGGAGGAGAGACCACAGUGCGAAGAAGCUUGAGCUUGGUUUAAUGUCAUUUCUUUGCUGUUUGUCCUUCAAGCAAUUUUGCACUCUACAAGGGCUAACGCCUUUAACAAAGGAAAGUUGGGGGGGGGGGGGAAGUAGAGGUACCAAAUUAAAAAUUGAAAGAAACUAUGGAUACCAGCAAAAUGGUUUUCCCAUUAAUUUACACC
Prosopis cineraria is the source of this 555-nucleotide long non-coding RNA. RefSeq lists it as uncharacterized. The record is from RefSeq and is a predicted model, not a curated record. The transcript is spliced from 3 exons. Lineage: Eukaryota; Viridiplantae; Streptophyta; Magnoliopsida; Fabales; Fabaceae.